CUACGGAGGGUGCAAGCGUUAUUCGGAAUCAUUGGGCGUAAAGGACGUGUAGGCGGGUUGGCAAGUCAGAUGUGAAAUCCUACAGCUUAACUGUAGAACUGCAUUUGAAACUGCUAACCUAGAGUAUGGGAGGGGGAGAUGGAAUUAGUGGUGUAGGGGUAAAAUCCGUAGAUAUCACUAGGAAUACCGAAAGCGAAGGCGAUCUCCUGGAACAUAACUGACGCUAAGGCGUGAAAGCGUGGGGAGCAAACAGGAUUAGAAACCCUAGUAGUCC
This 274-nucleotide ribosomal RNA is filed under the name uncultured bacterium. RNAcentral's name for it is "partial 16S ribosomal RNA". It matches the Rfam family "Bacterial small subunit ribosomal RNA", at positions 523 to 796 of the family's 1533-position model. The record is from RNAcentral.